This 583-nucleotide ribosomal RNA is filed under the name uncultured Hypocreales. Its description in RNAcentral is "eukaryotic LSU rRNA". The stretch from base 273 to 426 matches the Rfam family "5.8S ribosomal RNA". The record is from RNAcentral. Lineage: Eukaryota; Fungi; Ascomycota; Sordariomycetes; Hypocreales.
AAUCUUGGUCAUUUAGAGGAAGUAAAAGUCGUAACAAGGUCUCCGUUGGUGAACCAGCGGAGGGAUCAUUACCGAGUUUACAACUCCCAAACCCAAUGUGAACGUUACCAAACUGUUGCCUCGGCGGGAUCUCUGCCCCGGGUGCGUCGCAGCCCCGGACCAAGGCGCCCGCCGGAGGACCAACCAAAACUCUUAUUGUAUACCCCCUCGCGGGUUUUUUUAUAAUCUGAGCCUUCUCGGCGCCUCUCGUAGGCGUUUCGAAAAUGAAUCAAAACUUUCAACAACGGAUCUCUUGGUUCUGGCAUCGAUGAAGAACGCAGCGAAAUGCGAUAAGUAAUGUGAAUUGCAGAAUUCAGUGAAUCAUCGAAUCUUUGAACGCACAUUGCGCCCGCCAGUAUUCUGGCGGGCAUGCCUGUCCUAGCGUCAUUUCAACCCUCGAACCCCUCCGGGGGGUCGGCGUUGGGGAUCGGCCCUCCGUUAACGGGUGGACGUCUCCGAAAUACAGUGGCGGUCUCUCAGCAGGCUCUCCUGCUCAGUAUUUUGCACACGUGCCCUUCUGGMGCGAGGGUYGUYCACCUCCGAU